GACGAACGCUGGCGGCGUGCUUAACACAUGCAAGUCGAACGGAAAGGCCCUGCUUUUGUGGGGUGCUCGAGUGGCGAACGGGUGAGUAACACGUGAGUAACCUGCCCUUGACUUUGGGAUAACUUCAGGAAACUGGGGCUAAUACCGGAUAGGAGCUCCUGCUGCAUGGUGGGGGGUGGAAAGUUUCGGCGGGUGGGGAUGGACUCGCGGCUUAUCAGCUUGUUGGUGGGGGAGUGGCUUGCCAAGGCUUUGACGGGUAGCCGGCCUGAGAGGGUGAACGGACACAUUGGGACUGAGAUACGGCCCAGACUCCUACGGGAGGCAGCAGUGGGGAAUAUUGCACAAUGGGCGGAAGCCUGAUGCAGCAACGCCGCGUGCGGGAUGACGGCCUUCGGGUUGUAAACAGCUGUCGCCUGUGACGAAGCGUGAGUGACGGUAAUGGGUAAAGAAGCACCGGCUAACUACGUG
RNAcentral lists this ribosomal RNA (468 nucleotides) under uncultured bacterium. RNAcentral describes it as "partial 16S ribosomal RNA". It matches the Rfam family "Bacterial small subunit ribosomal RNA", at positions 28 to 507 of the family's 1533-position model. The record is from RNAcentral.